CGACACACUAUCAUUAACUGAAUCCAUAGGUUAAUGAGGCGAACCGGGGGAACUGAAACAUCUAAGUACCCCGAGGAAAAGAAAUCAACCGAGAUUCCCCCAGUAGCGGCGAGCGAACGGGGAGCAGCCCAGAGCCUGAAUCAGUGUGUGUGUUAGUGGAAGCGUCUGGAAAGGCGCGCGAUACAGGGUGACAGCCCCGUACACAAAAAUGCACAUGCUGUGAGCUCGAUGAGUAGGGCGGGACACGUGGUAUCCUGUCUGAAUAUGGGGGGACCAUCCUCCAAGGCUAAAUACUCCUGACUGACCGAUAGUGAACCAGUACCGUGAGGGAAAGGCGAAAAGAACCCCGGCGAGGGGAGUGAAAAAGAACCUGAAACCGUGUACGUACAAGCAGUGGGAGCACGCUUAGGCGUGUGACUGCGUACCUUUUGUAUAAUGGGUCAGCGACUUAUAUUCUGUAGCAAGGUUAACCGAAUAGGGGAGCCGAAGGGAAACCGAGUCUUAACUGGGCGUUAAGUUGCAGGGUAUAGACCCGAAACCCGGUGAUCUAGCCAUGGGCAGGUUGAAGGUUGGGUAACACUAACUGGAGGACCGAACCGACUAAUGUUGAAAAAUUAGCGGAUGACUUGUGGCUGGGGGUGAAAGGCCAAUCAAACCGGGAGAUAGCUGGUUCUCCCCGAAAGCUAUUUAGGUAGCGCCUCGUGAAUUCAUCUCCGGGGGUAGAGCACUGUUUCGGCAAGGGGGUCAUCCCGACUUACCAACCCGAUGCAAACUGCGAAUACCGGAGAAUGUUAUCACGGGAGACACACGGCGGGUGCUAACGUCCGUCGUGAAGAGGGAAACAACCCAGACCGCCAGCUAAGGUCCCAAAGUCAUGGUUAAGUGGGAAACGAUGUGGGAAGGCCCAGACAGCCAGGAUGUUGGCUUAGAAGCAGCCAUCAUUUAAAGAAAGCGUAAUAGCUCACUGGUCGAGUCGGCCUGCGCGGAAGAUGUAACGGGGCUAAACCAUG
This 1010-nucleotide ribosomal RNA is filed under the name Escherichia coli. RNAcentral's name for it is "partial 23S ribosomal RNA". It matches the Rfam family "Bacterial large subunit ribosomal RNA", at positions 141 to 1191 of the family's 2925-position model. Lineage: Bacteria; Pseudomonadati; Pseudomonadota; Gammaproteobacteria; Enterobacterales; Enterobacteriaceae. The record is from RNAcentral.